Molecule: long non-coding RNA, 400 nt
Filed under: Homo sapiens (human)
Lineage: Eukaryota; Metazoa; Chordata; Mammalia; Primates; Hominidae
Description: HSALNT0219025
Source: RNAcentral
AUUAGUGCAAUCUACAAAAGACUAGGGAAAGGGUGGCAGGGCAAGGGGAGCCACAGCACUCCUUUGGUUUGAUUUCAGGUGGGUCAACUUGUCCCAGCACCAGUUGCUACUGCAGGGCAAAGGAGGAAAGCCAGAGAAAAGGCCUCAAGUCUAGGAAGAGGAAGUCAAUGCUCUGGAAGCCAGACUCUGGCUCUCUAUGCCUCAAAGGAACAAGCUCAGAGCUGUGCUGGGAUCUAGGAAAGCCUGGUCCCAGGCUGAAGGGGAAGCGGCGGGUCACAGUGGGUGAGGUAAAGCUGGCCCCCACUCCCCCUUUGAGGGCAAGGGGGAGGCUACAGAAGGGCCUGUUGGGUCUGGUUCCUGAAAGACCUUGCCCCUCCUUCCCGCCCCCACCCUCCUAGGG